Molecule: transfer RNA, 77 nt
Filed under: Patescibacteria group bacterium
Lineage: Bacteria
Description: tRNA-Pro
Rfam family: tRNA
About the family: Transfer RNA (tRNA) molecules are approximately 80 nucleotides in length.
Source: RNAcentral
CUGGGUGUAGCUCAGUCUGGUAGAGCACCGGGCCUGGAACCCGGGGGCCGCAGGUUCAAAUCCUGCCGCCCAGACCA